AAACUUUCAACAAUGGAUCUCUUGGCUCUCGCAUCGAUGAAGAACGCAGCGAAUUGCGAUAAGUAGUGUGAAUUGCAGAAUUCUGUGAAUCAUCGAAUCUUUGAACGCAUAUUGCGCUCUCUGGUACUCCGGAGAGCAUGCCUGUUUGAGGGUAAUU
Molecule: ribosomal RNA, 157 nt
Filed under: uncultured Archaeospora
Lineage: Eukaryota; Fungi; Glomeromycota; Glomeromycetes; Archaeosporales; Archaeosporaceae
Description: 5.8S ribosomal RNA
Rfam family: 5.8S ribosomal RNA
About the family: 5.8S ribosomal RNA (5.8S rRNA) is a component of the large subunit of the eukaryotic ribosome. It is transcribed by RNA polymerase I as part of the 45S precursor that also contains 18S and 28S rRNA. Functionally, it is thought that 5.8S rRNA may be involved in ribosome translocation.
Source: RNAcentral